Molecule: microRNA, 22 nt
Filed under: Caenorhabditis elegans
Lineage: Eukaryota; Metazoa; Nematoda; Chromadorea; Rhabditida; Rhabditidae
Description: cel-miR-2209b-5p
Source: miRBase by way of RNAcentral
AGUGUAACAACUCUUCUCCUUC